GAUGAACGCUGGCGGCGUGCCUAAUACAUGCAAGUCGAGCGAACAGACGAGGAGCUUGCUCCUCUGACGUUAGCGGCGGACGGGUGAGUAACACGUGGAUAACCUACCUAUAAGACUGGUAUAACUUCGGGAAACCGGAGCUAAUACCGGAUAAUAUAUUGAACCGCAUGGUUCAAUAGUGAAAUACGGUUUUUCUGUCACUUAUAGCUGGAUCCGCGCCUCAUGAGCUAGUUGGUAAGGUAACGGCUUACCAAGGCAACGAUGCGUAGCCGACCUGAGAGGGUGAUCGGCCACCCUGGAACUGAGACACGGUCAAGACGCCUACGGGAGGCAGCAGUAGGGAAUCUUACGCAAUGGGCGAAAGCCUGACGGAGCAACGCCGCGUGAGUGACGAAGGUCUUCGGAUCGUAAAACUCUGUUAUUAGGGAAGAACAAAUGUGUAAGUAACUAUGCACGUCUUGACGGUACCUAAUCAGAAAGCCACGGCUAACUACGUG
Molecule: ribosomal RNA, 497 nt
Filed under: uncultured bacterium
Lineage: Bacteria
Description: partial 16S ribosomal RNA
Rfam family: Bacterial small subunit ribosomal RNA
Source: RNAcentral